RNAcentral lists this unclassified non-coding RNA (227 nucleotides) under Hevea brasiliensis (rubber tree). Lineage: Eukaryota; Viridiplantae; Streptophyta; Magnoliopsida; Malpighiales; Euphorbiaceae. The record is from RNAcentral.
GAAGAGGAAAGUUGAUGGAAGUAGCAUGUAGUAUGAUGGGGUCAUUUUGUCAUUAAAAUUCAAGAUCAAGAAAUUGAAUUAUUAAGAUUGGUAAUUCAAUUAGGAUUUGUGGAGAAGAGGAAAAAAAAAAUAAAAAAGCUACAAAAUUUUCUGAAUAAAUGGCAAAUUUUUAAUAUUUUUUUUCUAGGAGAGCCUUGUAAAAUUUAGGGAAGGAGAAAAAAAAAAUG